AACGCACAUUGCGCCCGCCAGCAUUCUGGCGGGCAUGCCUGUUCGAGCGUCAUUUCAACCCUCGCGCCCACUCCCGGGCAGCGGUGUUGGGGGCCGGCAACGGCGGGGCUCACCCCCCGCGCGCCGCCCCCUAAAUACAGUGGCGGUCUCGCUGCAGCCUCCCUUGCGUAGUAGCACACCUCGCACCGGAGCGCAGCGCGGCCACGCCGUAAAACCCCCGACUUUCAUGAGUUUGACCUCGGAUCAGGUAGGAAUACCCGCUGAACUUAA
This 270-nucleotide unclassified non-coding RNA is filed under the name uncultured Tilachlidium. RNAcentral's name for it is "partial contains 5.8S ribosomal RNA, internal transcribed spacer 2, and large subunit ribosomal RNA". The record is from RNAcentral. Lineage: Eukaryota; Fungi; Ascomycota; Sordariomycetes; Hypocreales; Tilachlidiaceae.